Molecule: small nucleolar RNA, 118 nt
Organism: Rhododendron vialii
Lineage: Eukaryota; Viridiplantae; Streptophyta; Magnoliopsida; Ericales; Ericaceae
Product: small nucleolar RNA snoR104
Exons: 1
Source: RefSeq, a predicted model, not a curated record
GGGGGGCAUCCACAAGCUGCCAUGUUAUCUGAUGCAAUCUUCCUACAUAAAAGCUCUGUAAUUUCCUGUUUGUGGGACUUGAGAAGGUUCAGCAAGUCUCAAAUUACAAGAUACAUGA